CGAAAUGCGAUACGUAAUGUGAAUUGCAAAUUCAGUGAAUCAUCGAGUCUUUGAACGCACAUUGCGCCCCCUGGUAUUCCGGGGGGCAUGCCUGUCCGAGCGUCAUUUCUGCCCUCAAGCACGGCUUGUGUGUUGGGCCCCGUCCUCCGAUCCCGGGGGACGGGCCCGAAAGGCAGCGGCGGUACCGCGUCCGGUCCUCGAGCGUAUGGGGCUUUGUCACCCGCUCUGUAGGCCCGGCCGGCGCUUGCCGAUCAACCCAAAUUUUUAUCCAGGUUGACCUCGGAUCAGGUAGGGAUACCCGCUGAACUUAAGC
This 313-nucleotide unclassified non-coding RNA is filed under the name plant metagenome. RNAcentral describes it as "partial contains 5.8S ribosomal RNA, internal transcribed spacer 2, and large subunit ribosomal RNA". The stretch from base 1 to 105 matches the Rfam family "5.8S ribosomal RNA", at positions 49 to 154 of the family's 154-position model. The record is from RNAcentral.